This is a long non-coding RNA of Lagenorhynchus albirostris (white-beaked dolphin), 494 nucleotides long. RefSeq lists it as uncharacterized. Lineage: Eukaryota; Metazoa; Chordata; Mammalia; Artiodactyla; Delphinidae. The transcript has 3 exons. The record is from RefSeq and is a predicted model, not a curated record.
AUUUGGAGAGCUUCUGGGAGAGGACGGACCUGGAGAGGACAUGGAGCCUCUGUGCCCCUCCCCACAAACCUUGUUCUGUGCAUCAGUCCCAUCUGGCUGUUCCCGAGUUGUAAUAAGUCAGUAAACAAGAGAUCAGCUUUGCGAUUUGCCCAACAGCCCUGGGCCAGCUUUGCGGAGGCCAUGCUGACGGCAAGUUGGAGCAAGGGUGUGGGUAAGAAACUGCCAUUCUGAGGGCUGAAAAAUAAGAAAGCAUGAGAUUCUGAGAAACAUAUGUCAAAAUUAAGAGUGUCUCCCUCACUUUCCCUUAGUGCAGAAUACAGAGGCCAGACAGCCAAGCAUCAGAGAUUGGAGCAAUUGUAUAUGUCACAGUGAAGCUUUGGGCAGGAUGCAGUAUCUUAGGAUGUACAUCCUCUAAGAGAAUGUAGAUCAUUAAGCUCAAUUCCUAGCCUUCAUUUUACCUGAAGAGAAAAGAAGCUCCAGUAGUGAGAAACGAU